This 208-nucleotide ribosomal RNA is filed under the name uncultured bacterium. RNAcentral describes it as "partial 16S ribosomal RNA". It matches the Rfam family "Bacterial small subunit ribosomal RNA", at positions 1293 to 1500 of the family's 1533-position model. The record is from RNAcentral.
UCAGAUUGCAGGCUGCAACUCGCCUGUAUGAAGUUGGAAUUGCUAGUAAUCGCGGAUCAGCAUGCCGCGGUGAAUACGUUCCCGGGCCUUGUACACACCGCCCGUCACACCAUGAGAGCCGGUAAUACCCGAAGUCAGUAUCCUAACCGCAAGGAGGGAGCUGCCGAAGGUAGGAUUGGCGAUUGGGGUGAAGUCGUAACAAGGUAUC